RNAcentral lists this ribosomal RNA (500 nucleotides) under uncultured bacterium. Its description in RNAcentral is "bacterial SSU rRNA". It matches the Rfam family "Bacterial small subunit ribosomal RNA", at positions 29 to 530 of the family's 1533-position model. The record is from RNAcentral.
AGUUAACGUUGGCGGCGUGCCUAGCACAUGCAAGUCGAACGCGUCCUAAGGGCAACUUUAGGAUGAGUGGCGAACGGGUGAGUAUCACGUGGGUAAUCUUCCUUUAAGUGGGGAAUAAGCUCUCGAAAGGGAGUCUAAUACCGCAUGACAUUCCGGGACACAAGUCCCGUAAUCAAAGCCGCAAGGCGCUUGAAGAUGAGCCUGCGUCCUAUUAGCUAGUUGGUGGGGUAACGGCCGUACCAAGGCUCAGAUGGGUAGCCGGCCUGAGAGGGUGAACGGCCACACUGGGACUGAGACACGGCCCAGACUCCUACGGGAGGCAGCAGUGAGGAAUUUUGCGCAAUGGGGGAAACCCUGACGCAGCGACGCCGCGUGGAGGAUGAAGGCCUUCGGGUCGUAAACGUCCUGUCAGAGGUGAAGAAUGCCGCAACGGGUUGACGGUAACCGUCAGAGGAAGCCCGGCUAACUAACGUGCCAGCAGCCGCGGUAAAGUCACGUCG